AACUUUCAGCACACGGAUCU
RNAcentral lists this ribosomal RNA (20 nucleotides) under Pezizales sp. O35. RNAcentral describes it as "partial 5.8S ribosomal RNA". Lineage: Eukaryota; Fungi; Ascomycota; Pezizomycetes; Pezizales. The record is from RNAcentral.